AUUCUUAGCUUCUUUAGGUCAAGAUAGUCAGCGAACCUGAGAGAGUUGGGACCUUUUAUGCUCCCCUCGGUUAGCUAGGUUUUAGCUGCAGAGAAUGCCUUCCUGAAUAGUGUAGCAUCUAGGGAUGAUGUCUGGAGAGCUGUUUGGGCAAUGGCGGAGGACCAAGCAUUUGGUCAUGAUGGCUUUCUCCUCUUCUUCAAGUGAUAGUCCAAUGGUUGAGGUAAUCCAACAGUUCUUUGUCAUUGGACAGAUGCCGGC
RNAcentral lists this long non-coding RNA (258 nucleotides) under Elaeis guineensis (African oil palm). RNAcentral's name for it is "long non-coding RNA (EGUI_LNC023719)". Lineage: Eukaryota; Viridiplantae; Streptophyta; Magnoliopsida; Arecales; Arecaceae. The record is from RNAcentral.